Molecule: ribosomal RNA, 277 nt
Filed under: uncultured bacterium
Lineage: Bacteria
Description: partial 16S ribosomal RNA
Rfam family: Bacterial small subunit ribosomal RNA
Source: RNAcentral
UACACACGUGUUACAAUGGGGGGUACAGAGGGCCGCUACCACGCGAGUGGAUGCCAAUCCCUAAAACCCCUCUCAGUUCGGACUGGAGUCUGCAACCCGACUCCACGAAGCUGGAUUCGCUAGUAAUCGCGCAUCAGCCACGGCGCGGUGAAUACGUUCCCGGGCCUUGUACACACCGCCCGUCAAGCCAUGGGAGCCGGGGGUACCUGAAGUGCGUAACCGCGAGGAUCGCCCUAGGGUAAAACUGGUGACUGGGGCUAAGUCGUAACAAGGUAGC